RNAcentral lists this ribosomal RNA (253 nucleotides) under uncultured bacterium. RNAcentral describes it as "partial 16S ribosomal RNA". It matches the Rfam family "Bacterial small subunit ribosomal RNA", at positions 524 to 776 of the family's 1533-position model. RNAcentral also lists the same sequence under 1 other name. The record is from RNAcentral.
UACGAAGGGGGCUAGCGUUGUUCGGAAUUACUGGGCGUAAAGCGCACGUAGGCGGAUUGUUAAGUCGGGGGUGAAAUCCCAGGGCUCAACCCUGGAACUGCCUUCGAUACUGGCAUUCUUGAGUCCGAGAGAGGUGAGUGGAAUUCCGAGUGUAGAGGUGAAAUUCGUAGAUAUUCGGAAGAACACCAGUGGCGAAGGCGGCUCACUGGCUCGGAACUGACGCUGAGGUGCGAAAGCGUGGGGAGCAAACAGG